Molecule: long non-coding RNA, 1222 nt
Organism: Polyodon spathula (Mississippi paddlefish)
Lineage: Eukaryota; Metazoa; Chordata; Actinopteri; Acipenseriformes; Polyodontidae
Exons: 2
Source: RefSeq, a predicted model, not a curated record
AUAUAUAUAUAUAUAUAUAUAUAUAUAUAUAUAUAUAUAUAUAUAUAUAUAUAUAAUGUAUAGUCCUUUGCACACUACAUUGUGAUACAUUUUCAUUUAGAUAGUGGCUGAGAAUCUGAGAAUCAUUCUUUAAUUCAACUACAGCCACAGUGCUUUGUCCGUGUCAUUGUAUUCAGUGCAUGGAUACAGAUGAUCACAAUUGAAUUAUGUGCAUCACAAAGGAGAGUACUAGCUAGAAAUAGCAAUGGGCACAACCAUUGUUUCCUCGGCCUUGUAUAAAUGGCAUGCGAGUGUGUGUCUCUGGAAUGCACAGCACUCGGCAGCAGCAUUACCGGGGCUGCACAACAUGUGCAUUCGAUCUAUCACAUCAAUCUAGGUCAACUUCUUCACCAAUUUACACUGCAACUAGGAUUCUCAUUUCAUGAUGACCCAAAAGGAAAUCAACAAUAAAUUGCAGGCUGAUACAAACAAACGUAAUUUCAGUAAGAAUCACUUGAAAAUCCUAAAUGUGUCCAAUGGAAAAGAAAAAAUGGCAAGAACAGGUUUCAAUGCCAUGGUGAUAUUAAACAGGUUUCAAUGCCAUGGUGAUAUUAAACAGGUUUCAAUGCCAUGCUGAUAUUAAACUGGUUUCAAUGCCAUGUUGAUAUUAAACUUGCACUAGGCGAAUGUGCAACAAUCUUCUGCUUUUUAAUAGAAAUCUACCAUUGUUUGAACUACCAGGAUUUGAAUUGCAUUCUGGGGAAACUUAUUGCUGGACUGGUCUGGAUUUAAAAAAAGAAGAAAAAGGUUUGGUUUCUGUGUAGAAGAAAUUGGUAUGGCACAAAAAGUAAGAACUCAGUCCAGAAAAGAGCUUUCUUUUCUCUUCUUUACAGCUUCACUCCGGUGGAACGAACAGCUUAAUCAAACAUGCUGGUUUCCUUUAUCUGCAGCAAACAACAAAAAGAAAAUCUGCACAGUAUUUUGGUACAUUCUGCAGAACCCUUCCACCCUCAGCCAAUUAAAAAAAAUAAAAAAAAUCAAGCUUAAAAUGUUACAAUCUAUACAAAAUGAAUAACACUAGUGUUGGCACUGGCAGCUAUCCCUGGGCUGAAAGGUUCACUUCCAAAUUCUGUUGCCUACACCAAAUUGUUCCCUUACACAAAAAACAAACACAGACGCACCAUCGCGCUCAGGUUCUGCUUUCUACCUGGCUUUACAAGAUACAAGAGUAUUACUUUUUUUU